GCCAGCCCGGCCGCGCCCUGAUCGCGAUCACAGUCGAUAGCGGGGUCGAUCAGGCGGACCGACGGAGGACCCGCGUCGCCGCCGUCCGCGCGGCCACCUCCGUGACCCCCCGGUCGCGCCCCGGCUGCGCCCGGCGCCGCCCCCCAGUGCCCUCCCGGUGCCCGCCAAGAGUGUCCACUUCCCGGUGGCGCCCUCCCCGCCAGUCGCCAGUCGGCGCCGGCCAAGUGCCUCUCGUGUCUCUUCCGGGCCUCCCCGCCGCCCCCUGGAGGCACCUCGGCGACAACCCCUGCGGGGGCAGCAGCACCGCUUCACGCCACUGCUCAUACCAAGCUCCACGGAAGGCGCGAGGCGAAGGUCUACCUGCGGAAGCGAAGCGGCGGCGCGCUCCUCGGCACGCGAAGACAGGACAGCCUGGCUCUGAGCCCGCCGUCACCGCCGCCCUCCAGAGGGAAGUCCUCCCGGUGUGCCGGGGCAGCGGGAGAGCCGGGGAGAUCGUCCUCAUCCUCUCCACCGCGGUCGAGUGCCCCCCGCAGGCUCCGGGCUCCCCUGACUCCGCUGACGCGCUGGCCGGCGCCCAGGCCGGCGCACCGCGGCCGAGGCCAUGCACCCCCGCAAGGAGGCCCUGUGCCGGGUGUGCGGCGACAAGGCGUCCGGCAAGCACUACGGCGUGCCGAGCUGCGACGGCUGCAGGGGGUUCUUCAAGAGGAGCAUCCGUCGGAACCUGGCGUACGUCUGCAAGGAGGGCGGAGGCUGCACCGUGGACGUCAGCAGGAGGAACCAGUGCCAGGCGUGCCGCUUCAGGAAGUGCCUCGAGGUCAACAUGAAGAAGGACG
Long non-coding RNA from Frankliniella occidentalis (western flower thrips), 833 nucleotides. RefSeq lists it as uncharacterized. The transcript has 4 exons. NCBI's taxonomy places the organism in Eukaryota, Metazoa, Arthropoda, Insecta, Thysanoptera, Thripidae. The record is from RefSeq and is a predicted model, not a curated record.